RNAcentral lists this ribosomal RNA (492 nucleotides) under uncultured bacterium. RNAcentral's name for it is "partial 16S ribosomal RNA". It matches the Rfam family "Bacterial small subunit ribosomal RNA", at positions 29 to 507 of the family's 1533-position model. The record is from RNAcentral.
AGUGAACGCUGGCGGUAGGCCUAACACAUGCAAGUCGAACGGCAGCACAGUAAGAGCUUGCUCUUACGGGUGGCGAGUGGCGGACGGGUGAGGAAUACAUCGGAAUCUACUUUUUCGUGGGGGAUAACGUAGGGAAACUUACGCUAAUACCGCAUACGACCUGCGGGUGAAAGCAGGGGAUCUUCGGACCUUGCGCGAUUGAAUGAGCCGAUGUCGGAUUAGCUAGUUGGCGGGGUAAAGGCCCACCAAGGCGACGAUCCGUAGCUGGUCUGAGAGGAUGAUCAGCCACACUGGAACUGAGACACGGUCCAGACUCCUACGGGAGGCAGCAGUGGGGAAUAUUGGACAAUGGGCGCAAGCCUGAUCCAGCCAUACCGCGUGGGUGAAGAAGGCCUUCGGGUUGUAAAGCCCUUUUGUUGGGAAAGAAAAGCAGCAGGUUAAUACCCCGCUGUGCUGACGGUACCCAAAGAAUAAGCACCGGCUAACUUCGUG